CUUUGAGCAGAAAGUCAGUUAUCAUCUUGUUUACUGAUAUCAAUUAUGAUAUCUGUUCUAAUUCAAAGCGGGUGACUACAUUUACAACCAACAAAAGUAGCCUCUCAUUAUAGAGGGUUGGCAGAUGUCCAUCUGCAAGAAGAUUGCCCUGAAAUAACAGGUUCUGGUUCCAAUUUUCUUUGAGUUUUUUUUUGUUGUUGUUUUUUUUACUUUUAUUAGUGUUUGACCCAACAAACUCUCAACAUGGGCAUCCAGAAAGGAAAUCAUUUGUUGUGGCUGAGCAGUGUUUCCCACAGAUGUUGUUUCUAGUUGUGGCAGAGAGCGUCUACUGCUAGAGAGUUCCAUGUACCCUUUGUUUAACAAAUUAUUAACACCUCUACAGAUAUUUUUUUGCCCACUAACUCAUGACACCAUAAACUUUGGUGCAAUCAGCUGCAUCGCCAAUGAGACUCCGCCUCAAUCCCGAUGGGUCUCUGGAGCCGACAGCUGCAAAACUCCAGAAACUGUAAAUUUGUGUUCAUCCUUUAAGAAGUAGCUUAAUGAUAUUGAUAACCAGCACAAUGGCAUAGUUAUCAGAAAAUCAACUUUCUAAAUAAGUGAGAGGGACCACUGGUAAAUUGGCUAAGGUGCUGUUCUCUCAAAUGACCAGAGAAUAAAUGAAUAAAUAAACCCUUGAACGAGUCACCAUCAGUGUGUGGGAAGCACUGCUAACACACUGAAGUUAAGUCUGGAUUGGUCCCACCCGUUAAGGACCCCCCAACCCCCCUGACUCUUAUGUAUGUUUGGGGGAAAAAAAAGACUCAGGUUGAAGUGAUGGCUUUGAGCUUUAGUUUGAGGGUGUUUAUACUCCUAAUGAACUUGGUUUUGAUUGUAACAUUUUAUAAAUACCCCAGAAAGGGUAAAAAGUCCCACACUGAUGGGAAGAUGCUAGAAUGGCCUUAAAUCUCAGCAGGUUAAGUUACUUAAGAGCUGCACUGUGGCUUAGUUAAGACACAUCUCCUGACUGCACAUGUUGGGGGGGGAUGGUUAAAAGCGUUACUGCCAUUGCACCCUCUGACCACAGGGGGGUGCAGUGUUUAAUUGCCAUCCUAAAAACUUGAGGACAAUUGGAGAUUAGAUGAAACUUUUAAAACAAGAACUUGAGCUUCGUAGCUCACAGCCUUGAAUAACUUUGAGGGACAUCCGGCAGAGCAGUGUUUUGAGGCCAGGUCAGGUGCAGGUUCAUCAGAUGCAGACAUUUGAUUCCUCCGGAUCAAAACUUUGUUCUGGUUCAUGUCCACAGAGUUCCUUUGAAGGAAGUGUUGUGCAAUGUUGUGAUGUCCUCUUUUUGCACAGUGUUGGGUUACUGAAUCAGUACUGUCAAAUGUACAGUAAUGCUUGGCUCAAAAUAAGUGACUUUAGUGUGGGAUCACCUUUAUUUUACCUAACCCUCUCUGUCACGUGUGUGACACACAGAUUGUUGUUUCUGUUUUGGAAAACAGAAUUGGGUUUGGAUCGAAGAUUUAGCGCUUGAGUGGAACGUGUGUGUGUGCGCGCGUGUAAACUACAUUGUUUUGGAGGUCAGUUGUGACUGAGUUUAUUUGAUCUUAGCACAGCUGUUGUCCUUUAAUUGGAAAAACAGUUUGAGGAGGAAAAAAGUAUGAAUUUAUUGGACUUUUUAUUUCCUUUGCCAGGGUCAUCGUGUCACUUCAUGUCUUUGCUCUAGAAAAGUGCUUUUUCUGUUGCAGCCAUGAGACCGGGCUUCUGGAUUUUUAAACCUUUUUUUGCCCUCAUUAUCACACGUGGAUGUGCGGAAAACCGUAUCUUUAGUAGAAGCUGUACAAAUAAGGUAACAGUUUUUAUAUCACUGCAGUCAUGAUUUAUUUUUCUUCUGUUUUUCCAGCACUUGAAAAACUUAAAAGUUGUUGUCAUAUUUAGUGCAGAAAAGCAACUUUGGAAAAUAAAGAGAAACCGGGGCAACUAUUUAAAUACACGCCUACAGUUAGCCGCUAUACAGCCACGCACAACUACUACAGAGAUCACUGUAUAACAGAUAUAGAUUUAAUGUUUUUGAAGCCAUAAAUCUAAAAAAAAAUUUUUUACUAACAUGCAUAAAUAGAUUGUUAAAGCUCCAAAUAUGAGGCUGACUUCUAUGCUGAAUGAUAUAAAUUUGAACUGUGAGUUUUGUCAACUGUGCUGUAAAAAUGCAAGUUUUUGUAGUGCACAAAAUCCUCACCUGGAUGAUAGGGGAAAAACCAAACUGUAUUAUUUUAAGAGCAGCGACACCUUAUGUAUCUGUGGAACAAAAUAAAUAGGUAAAGAGUAUUUUGAGUGUGAUUGUGGGACUGAUCCUCACGUUUCAAAGUUGGGAAACCAAAGACUGAGCAGUAGAGGGGAUGAACUGAUGGUUUGUCAAAUAGCAACACUAAUGUGGAACGCUUGUGCGCACUUUGAAAGAGUCGCCUGUAUUUUGUGACUUGUAAAUAAACUCGCUAAGGCAGCUCCUCGCAGAAGCAGGGACUUCUCUUGGUGCUGGCUCGCCAAGCGCUGAGGCUAUCAA
Astatotilapia calliptera (eastern happy) is the source of this 2539-nucleotide long non-coding RNA. The record is from Ensembl. Lineage: Eukaryota; Metazoa; Chordata; Actinopteri; Cichliformes; Cichlidae.